RNAcentral lists this ribosomal RNA (460 nucleotides) under uncultured bacterium. RNAcentral describes it as "partial 16S ribosomal RNA". It matches the Rfam family "Bacterial small subunit ribosomal RNA", at positions 338 to 795 of the family's 1533-position model. The record is from RNAcentral.
CCUACGGGAGACAGCAGUGAGGAAUAUUGGUCAAUGGGCGCGAGCCUGACCCAGCCAAGUAGCGUGAAGGAUGACUGCCCUACGGGUUUUAAACUUCUUUUAUAAAGGAAUAAAGUGAGGCACGUGUGCCUUUAUGUAUGUACUUUAUGAAUAAGGAUCGGCUAACUCCGUGCCAGCAGCCGCGGUAAUACGGAGGAUCCGAGCGUUAUCCGGAUUUUUUGGGUUUAAAGGGAGAGUAGAUGGGUUUUUAAGUCAGUUGUGAAAAUUUCCGGCUCAACCGUAAAAUUGCAAUUGAUACUGGCAGUCUUGAGUACAGUUGAGGUAGGCGGAAUUCGUGGUGUAGCGGUGAAAUGCUUAGAUAUCAGGAAGAACUCCGAUUGCGAAGGCAGCUUACUAAACUGCCACUGACAUUGAUGCUCGAAAGUGUGGGUAUCAAACAGGAUUAGAUACCCGUGUAGUC